Pelobates cultripes (western spadefoot toad) is the source of this 665-nucleotide non-coding RNA. The record is from the annotation of a GenBank genome assembly. Lineage: Eukaryota; Metazoa; Chordata; Amphibia; Anura; Pelobatidae.
AAUUGUAACGGCUACCCAGCUGGAGAGGGGUAUCUGCCGUUGGAGACGUCCUUUUCUAGGCAAGCUGCUGUGAAGUAAUGGAGUUCUUAUUCCCAUCCACGAUAUCCAAGUGUAUAAUCCAGGAGUGCUGUAAAAUGAGGCAGAGUAACGGUACCAUAAAUCCCCUCCAAGAACGAGACGAGGCUACGUUUUGAAGGGUCAAGUAGAACUGAUGUUUAUUGACAGGGGGUCUCCUUUUAUGCAAUGGUGCCCUCUGAAAGGCUACACCCACAUAAUUAUCACAACAGCCAAUUACAUACAUGGUUCAACCCCCACGUCUCCUCCCCUCAGAAAACAUAUAACACAAUUAAAACAGACACAAUUUUAACUACAUUCUGGAUGUACCCCAAAAACAGGGGGUACACCUUUAAGUCCAUCACUGCUUAAUAGCUCUCACUCAGGGGAACAAUAUAUCCAAAUUUCAGUCCAUUCGGUUGAGGGGUUCGGGAGUUAUGGAUCUUUGAAGUUUUGACCGACCGCACAGGUUUUCCAGCCGAAAAGAGUUCCAUAAGUUUUGGCCUUGCGGUCGGUCUCCGUUCGUGCAUAAAAACCCCACAAACCCCUUGACAUCCACAGUCAUCCUGGUGUUCGCCUGAAUCCCCAUGAAUGCUUAAACAAAACUACCG